This 269-nucleotide ribosomal RNA is filed under the name uncultured bacterium. Its description in RNAcentral is "partial 16S ribosomal RNA". It matches the Rfam family "Bacterial small subunit ribosomal RNA", at positions 524 to 792 of the family's 1533-position model. The record is from RNAcentral.
UACAGAGGGCUCAAGCGUUAAUCGGAAUCACUGGGCUUAAAGGGUCCGCAAGCGGAUUGGAAAGUAUCUGUGAAAUACCACGGCUCAACCGUGGAACUGCUCGGUAACUUCCAAUCUUGAACACGGUAGGGGCCAUCGGAACUCUAGGUGGAGCGGUGAAAUGCGUAGAUAUCUAGAGGAACGCCAGAGGCGAAAGCGGAUGGCUGGGCCGUUGUUGACGCUCAGGGACGAAAGCAUGGGUAGCGAACGGGAUUAGAUACCCCCGUGUA